RNAcentral lists this ribosomal RNA (459 nucleotides) under uncultured bacterium. RNAcentral describes it as "partial 16S ribosomal RNA". It matches the Rfam family "Bacterial small subunit ribosomal RNA", at positions 338 to 795 of the family's 1533-position model. The record is from RNAcentral.
CCUACGGAGGGCAGCAGUGAGGAAUAUUGGUCAAUGGUCGGGAGACUGAACCAGCCAAGUCGCGUGAGGGAGGAAGGCACAGAGUAUCGUAAACCUCUUUUGUCAGGGAACAAAGACUGGGACGUGUUCCCGGAUGAGUGUUACUGAAGAAAAAGCAUUGGCCUACCUCGUGCCAGCAGCCGCGGUAAUACGGAGGAUGCGAGCGUUUUUCGGAUUUAUUGGGUUUAAAGGGUGCGGAGGCGGUCUGUUAAGUCAGCGGGAAAAGGUCGGGGCUCAACCCCGGCCCGCCGUUGAAACUGGCGGUCUCGAGUUGGAGAGAAGUAUGCGGAAUGAGCGGUGUAGCGGUGAAAUGCAUAGAUAUCACGCAGAACGCCGAUUGCGAAGGCAGCAUGCCGGCUCCACACUGACGCUGAGGCACGAAAGCGUGGGUAUCGAACAGGAUUAGAUACCCUAGUAGUC